CCUACGGGAGGCAGCAGUGGGGAAUAUUGGACAAUGGGGGGAACCCUGAUCCAGCCAUGCCGCGUGUGUGAAGAAGGCCCUCGGGUUGUAAAGCACUUUCAGUGAGGAAGAACGCCUGGUGGUUAAUACCCAUCAGGAAAGACAUCACUCACAGAAGAAGCACCGGCUAACUCCGUGCCAGCAGCCGCGGUAAUACGGAGGGUGCGAGCGUUAAUCGGAAUUACUGGGCGUAAAGCGCGCGUAGGUGGCUUGAUAAGCCGGUUGUGAAAGCCCCGGGCUCAACCUGGGAACGGCAUCCGGAACUGUCAAGCUAGAGUGCAGGAGAGGAAGGUAGAAUUCCCGGUGUAGCGGUGAAAUGCGUAGAGAUCGGGAGGAAUACCAGUGGCGAAGGCGGCCUUCUGGACUGACACUGACACUGAGGUGCGAAAGCGUGGGUAGCAAACAGGAUUAGAUACCCUUGUAUC
Molecule: ribosomal RNA, 464 nt
Filed under: Vreelandella stevensii
Lineage: Bacteria; Pseudomonadati; Pseudomonadota; Gammaproteobacteria; Oceanospirillales; Halomonadaceae
Description: partial 16S ribosomal RNA
Rfam family: Bacterial small subunit ribosomal RNA
Source: RNAcentral